GGUCGCGGCUUCUAUAGCUGAGGAAAGUCGGAGCUUACUAAGGUAUAAGUGCUAGCGAAAUGCUAGGAUGGGAAACCAUAUGGAAAGUGUUACAGAAAAGAACCGCAAUUAAUUUAUUAAUUGUAAGGGUGAAAAGGUGAGGUAAGAGCUUACCGCAAAAAUAGCAAUAUUUUUGGCAUAAACAAACCCCACUUAAAGCAAGUUCAAAUAUAGUAUAUGGUAUUUAUCCUACUUUUAUAGGGUAAAUCUAAGUUAACCUUAACGAAGUAUACAGGGUAGAACGCUAGACUUUUUAGGAAACUAAACAAGCUAGAUAGAUGACU
This 323-nucleotide RNase P RNA is filed under the name Rickettsiales bacterium. RNAcentral's name for it is "RNase P RNA component class A". It matches the Rfam family "Bacterial RNase P class A", at positions 16 to 316 of the family's 367-position model. Rfam says of the family: Ribonuclease P (RNase P) is a ubiquitous endoribonuclease, found in archaea, bacteria and eukarya as well as chloroplasts and mitochondria. Its best characterised activity is the generation of mature 5'-ends of tRNAs by cleaving the 5'-leader elements of precursor-tRNAs. Cellular RNase Ps are ribonucleoproteins. The record is from RNAcentral. Lineage: Bacteria; Pseudomonadati; Pseudomonadota; Alphaproteobacteria; Rickettsiales.